RNAcentral lists this ribosomal RNA (467 nucleotides) under uncultured bacterium. RNAcentral's name for it is "partial 16S ribosomal RNA". It matches the Rfam family "Bacterial small subunit ribosomal RNA", at positions 29 to 507 of the family's 1533-position model. The record is from RNAcentral.
ACGAACGCUGGCGGCGUGCUUAACACAUGCAAGUCGAACGGAAAGGCCCUGCUUUUGUGGGGUGCUCGAGUGGCGAACGGGUGAGUAACACGCGAGUAACCUGCCCUUGACUUUGGGAUAACUUCAGGAAACUGGGGCUAAUACCGGAUAGGAGCUCCUUCUGCAUGGUGGGGGUUGGAAAGUUUCGGCGGUUGGGGAUGGAUUCGCGGCGUACCAGCUUGUUGGUGGGGUAGUGGCUUACCAAGGCUUUGACGGGUAGCCGGCCUGAGAGGGUGACCGGCCACAUUGGGACUGAGAUACGGCCCAGACUCCUACGGGAGGCAGCAGUGGGGAAUAUUGCACAAUGGGCGGAAGCCUGAUGCAGAAACGCCGCGUGCGGGAUGACGGCCUUCGGGUUGUAAACCGAUUUCGCCUGUGACGAAGCGUGAGUGACGGUAAUGGGUAAAGAAGCACCGGCUAACUACGUG